GGGAAGUUUACUAAAGGGGUGGGUGGCACAGCAAGCCCCGGAUUUGAAUUAGUCAGCCAGCUGGGCUCUUUCUGUGUGUUUCUUUCUGUGUCAAGGCUGAAGGAACGGACUCGAGCGCAGACUCUGGGAUUAAAUCAAACAGUUCUUAUUUACAACACCAAGUGAGCUAUAUACAAAGUGAGUGGAAAGGUCAGGGCUCCAGACAUCCACAGGCAGGAAGGGGAAAGGUGCUCCACACUCGCUCGCGGAUCCACGCUCCACUCGUCCCAAUCUCCGCACACUUGCUCUGUACUAACACCCGACACCAAACUACCAAACACUUACGCCCAGGAAUCAGGGAAGAGGGUUACAGGACGGGUCCAGGAAGUCUAUGUACAAACAAGCAGAACCAGGAAACCACUGGGGAAAACAUGAGAGAUGAUGGGCGCUAACGUGUGUCUAAACAACGGUCCAGCAGCGAGAAGCUGUGAGCCACCGCCUUAAGUAGUGGCCAGGGAAGGCAGGAUAAUGAGCCACAGGUGCGUGAUUACUGGCAGGUGAGUGGGAGCCACAGUGAGCUCCGCCCAGGCAGAGCAAAGACAGAAGAGAGAAAGAGCAAAAAAAAAACAAACAAAACAAAACAUGUAGCCUCACUGGGCCGGCCAGGAAGACACAGGGACCAUGACCAUUUGCAUGUUAUUGUCAUAACUGCUGGAUCAUGACACCUUAUACUGUCCACUUUCCUCACUUGCACAUUGUCUCACAAGUAUCAUAUAUAACCUACAUUUAUACUAACUUAUCCCAAACUCUUUGUCUAAUUUCUUUAAAGUGAGGUACUGAAACACUUUUUUUUUUUUUAAUGAAAUCGCUCUUCUAUGAAGCUGGUAUCCUUUGUGUGUUGUCCCUUAUUUGAUGAAUGUUUCAUUAAAUAUUUUAGCUGACAUACAGUAUUUCUUCAGUCUCUGUUAUCUUUGAAAUAAUCAAUAAUGAAUAAAUGAAAUCAGUAGAUUUGAACAAAUGUUCACUGCACCACAUGAGUUCAUUUUGACUUUGUUUGAAAAGACUGACAACGAAAUUUAAAACGUUUGUUUAAUUUUUUUUGUCUUCUGAAAGAAGCCAGUAUAGCAGGGUGUAUGAGCUCAAAGUUAACUUAUUCAUGUGAAGUUACUCUAGA
This is a long non-coding RNA of Astatotilapia calliptera (eastern happy), 1153 nucleotides long. The record is from Ensembl. Lineage: Eukaryota; Metazoa; Chordata; Actinopteri; Cichliformes; Cichlidae.